CUACUUGGUGACUCUGAACUCAUCUCUUAUAUUCUUGCUGGAUUACCUACCGAAUAUGAUCCUCUUAUUACUUCUAUCAACACUCGCUUGAGCCUAUGCCGCUUGAUGAACUUUAUGGCCAUUUGAUCACACAUGAAC
Molecule: small nucleolar RNA, 138 nt
Organism: Carya illinoinensis
Lineage: Eukaryota; Viridiplantae; Streptophyta; Magnoliopsida; Fagales; Juglandaceae
Product: small nucleolar RNA Z247
Exons: 1
Source: RefSeq, a predicted model, not a curated record